AGUGAACGCUGGCGGUAGGCCUAACGCAUGCAAGUCGAACGGCAGCACAGUAAGUGCUUGCUCUUACGGGUGGCGACUGGCGGGCGGGUGAGGAAUACAUCGGUAUCUACUUUUUAGUGGGGGCUAACGUGGGGACUAUUACGCUAUUACUGCAUACGACGUACGGGUGGAAGCAUGGGAUCUUCGGAUCUUGGGCGAUUGAAUGAGGCGAUGUCGGAUUAGCUAGUUGGCGGGGUAAAGGCCCACCAAGGCGACGAUCCGUAGCUGGUCUGAGAGGAUGAUCAGUCACACUGGAACUGAGACACGGUCCAGACUCCUACGGGAGGCAGCAGUGGGGAAUAUUGGACAAUGGGCGCAAGCCUGAUCCAGCCAUACCGCGUGUGUGAAGAAGGCCUUCGGAUUGUAAAGCCCUUUUGUUUGGGAAGAAAAGCAGCAGGUUAAUACCCCGCUGUUCUGACGGUACCAAAAGAAUAAGCACCGGCUAACUUCGUG
This 492-nucleotide ribosomal RNA is filed under the name uncultured bacterium. Its description in RNAcentral is "partial 16S ribosomal RNA". It matches the Rfam family "Bacterial small subunit ribosomal RNA", at positions 29 to 507 of the family's 1533-position model. The record is from RNAcentral.